This 219-nucleotide long non-coding RNA is filed under the name Capsicum annuum. RNAcentral's name for it is "long non-coding RNA (CANN_LNC014871)". Lineage: Eukaryota; Viridiplantae; Streptophyta; Magnoliopsida; Solanales; Solanaceae. The record is from RNAcentral.
AGGAAAGACGUAACAUCAUAACAUUUUGAAGAAAGAAAACAACAAAAACGUACAAAAGUUUGGGACCACUUUAAAACUAAGCAACAAAUACGAAACAACAUUAUAGACCCCUAAGACGACGUAGGUGAAAUUACUAAUAAAGACUCUAAUACCAAAAACAACUUGACUUUGACUUAAAGCAGACACCACCCUACAAUGACAGACACAUAAAAGACUCAA